This is a long non-coding RNA of Eurytemora carolleeae, 857 nucleotides long. RefSeq lists it as uncharacterized. The transcript has 2 exons. Lineage: Eukaryota; Metazoa; Arthropoda; Copepoda; Calanoida; Temoridae. The record is from RefSeq and is a predicted model, not a curated record.
UAUCAUCCCCCCAAAGUACGUGAACUACACGACCAUUAUCUAUAGAGAGAACGGGCUCUGAGAGGAUAAAAGGAGUGACAUACUUACAAUUUUUUAAAAUUAAAACUAGGACUCAUCCUCUUCUGUGGGAAAUAUUAUUAGUGAUAUACAAACUAUCAUUUAAACAUUUUUUUAUUAUUUCUUUAGUUAUUUUAUACUUUAUAUGUACUAUGUAGUUUAAGAUGCAUGCAAAUAAAAAAUAGUCGAUUUAUUAAAGAUAAAAAACGUAAAAACGUCUUAGAUUUUGCCAAACUCAUUUUUAAAGAGCCCCCCAUUAAAGUUUAUUGUUUUCCUCUGCCUGCAACCUUAUGAAAGAAGCAAGUCCUGUUUUUCAAUCAAAAAUUAACAAAUCUUUCAAAAUAGACGUUAUAAAAAACUUUAAAAGUGAUCUUCACUUAAACAAUUCUGAAUUUUACUCUAAACAUGUUUUAUUUUUUUAUAACAUUUUUCCCCUUAGAAAUUAUGAUGAAAACAUGUUAUAUUAUCCCCUGCAUCUAGACGGCGCCGGUAUUAUCUUUCCUUCCAUUAACAUUAUCCAGAGAUUAGGUUCAGAUUGACACUUCUUCUCAGAUCAUGCAAAAGAAUUGCUUCAGGUUCCCAAAGAGGUUGGAGAGUCAAGUUCUAGAUCCUUCCAGAUCCAUCCGGUUCCUAACUGGAGCAAAGAGCAACGGGUGUGAUUGGACUGGGUCUCCCAUGGCAAUAAAGGCUUCCUUACAGAGGGCCGACCGCUGUGGCUAGAACGAGUUAGGGGAGGAGAAUAUAGAAAAAUCGUUUAUUGUAAUUAUGAUUUAAAAAUAAAUACUUCACAAUUCAACUUA